RNAcentral lists this ribosomal RNA (409 nucleotides) under uncultured bacterium. Its description in RNAcentral is "bacterial SSU rRNA". It matches the Rfam family "Bacterial small subunit ribosomal RNA", at positions 355 to 776 of the family's 1533-position model. The record is from RNAcentral.
UUUGGAAUUUUGGACAAUGGGCGAAAGCCUGAUCCAGCGACGCCGCGUGCACGAAGAAGGCCUUCGGGUUGUAAAGUGCUUUUGGUAGGGACAAAUUUUGAUGGUACCUACAGAAUAAGAGGUUGCUAACUCUGUGCCAGCAGCAGCGGUAAUACAGAGACCUCAAGCGUUAUCCGGAAUCAUUGGGCGUAAAGCGUGCCGAUAGGUGGUUUAUUUAGUCUUGGGUGAAAGCCCGAAGCUCAACUUCGGAGUUUGCUUAAGAUACUAAUAGACUAGAGGGGCAAAGAGGUGCUUGGAACGAACGGUGUAGUAGUGAAAUGCGUUGAUAUCGUUCGGAACACCGAAAGCGAAGGCAGAGCACUGGGUGCCACCUGACACUGCUAGGACGAAAGCGUGGGGAGCGAAUGGG